This 406-nucleotide ribosomal RNA is filed under the name uncultured bacterium. Its description in RNAcentral is "partial 16S ribosomal RNA". It matches the Rfam family "Bacterial small subunit ribosomal RNA", at positions 30 to 526 of the family's 1533-position model. The record is from RNAcentral.
AUUGAACGCUGGCGGCAGGCCUAACACAUGCAAGUCGAACGAGUGGCGGACGGGUGAGUAAUGUCUGGGAAACUGCCUGAUGGAGGGGGAUAACUACUGGAAACGGUAGCUAAUACCGCAUACCAUCGGAUGUGCCCAGAUGGGAUUAGCUAGUAGGUGGGGUAACGGCUCACCUAGGCGACGAGCCCUAGCAGGUCUGAGAGGAUGACCAGCCACACUGGAACUGAGACCCGGUCCAGACUCCUACGGGAGGCAGCAGUGGGGAAUAUUGCACAAUUGACGCAAGCCUGAUGCAGCCAUGCCGCGUGUAUGAAGAAGGCCUUCGGGUUGUAAAGUACUUUCAGCAGGGAUGCGUUACCCACAUAGGAAGCACCGGCUAACUCCGUGCCAGCAGCCGCGGUAAUUC